This 1590-nucleotide ribosomal RNA is filed under the name Georgenia thermotolerans. RNAcentral describes it as "partial 23S ribosomal RNA". It matches the Rfam family "Bacterial large subunit ribosomal RNA", at positions 1417 to 2925 of the family's 2925-position model. Lineage: Bacteria; Bacillati; Actinomycetota; Actinomycetes; Allobogoriellales; Allobogoriellaceae. The record is from RNAcentral.
GGUGGCGCGUGGGACCCGAUCCGGUAGUAGGUAAGCGUGUUAACAGGGGUGACGCAGACAGGUAGCCACCGCGUGCUUAAUGGCAAUGCACGUCCAAGGUUGCAGGGCGGGGUGCAGGCAAAUCCGCACCCCAUAUAAGCCUCAGGACCGAUGGUGACCCCGUAGGGGGGAAGCAGGGUGAUCCUAUGCUGCCGAGAAAAGCCUCGACGCGAGGGACUAGCCGCCCGUACCCGAAACCGACUCAGGUGGUCAGGUAGAGAAUACCAAGGCGAUCGAGAUAAUCGUGGUUAAGGAACUCGGCAAAAUGCCCCCGUAACUUCGGGAGAAGGGGGGCCUGGAGGGUGAAACCCCAUGCGGGUUAGCCCUUGCGGGCCGCAGAGACCAGGGAGAAGCGACUGUUUACUAAAAACACAGGUCCGUGCGAAGUCGCAAGACGAUGUAUACGGACUGACGCCUGCCCGGUGCUGGAAGGUUAAGAGGACGGGUCAACCACUAAGGUGGUGAAGCUCAGAAUUUAAGCCCCAGUAAACGGCGGUGGUAACUAUAGCGAGUGGUGAAGCUCAGAAUUUAAGCCCCAGUAAACGGCGGUGGUAACUAUAACCAUCCUAAGGUAGCGAAAUUCCUUGUCGGGUAAGUUCCGACCUGCACGAAUGGCGUAACGACUUCUCCGCUGUCUCAACCGCGAACUCGGCGAAAUUGCACUACGAGUAAAGAUGCUCGUUACGCGCAGCAGGACGGAAAGACCCCGGGACCUUUACUAUAGCUUGGUAUUGGUGUUCGGUACGGCUUGUGUAGGAUAGGUGGGAGACCGUGAAGCAUUCACGCCAGUGAGUGUGGAGUCGCCGUUGAAAUACCACUCUGGUCGUACUGCACAUCUAACCUCGGUCCGUGAUCCGGACCAGGGACAGUGCCUGGUGGGUAGUUUAACUGGGGCGGUUGCCUCCCAAAAUGUAACGGAGGCGCUCAAAGGUUCCCUCAGCCUGGUUGGCAAUCAGGUGUCGAGUGCAAGUGCACAAGGGAGCUUGACUGUGAGACUGACGGGUCGAGCAGGGACGAAAGUCGGAACUAGUGAUCCGGCGGUGGCUUGUGGAAGCGCCGUCGCUCAACGGAUAAAAGGUACCCCGGGGAUAACAGGCUGAUCUUGCCCAAGAGUCCAUAUCGACGGCAUGGUUUGGCACCUCGAUGUCGGCUCGUCGCAUCCUGGGGCUGGAGUAGGUCCCAAGGGUUGGGCUGUUCGCCCAUUAAAGCGGUACGCGAGCUGGGUUUAGAACGUCGUGAGACAGUUCGGUCCCUAUCCGCUGCGCGCGCAGGAAACUUGAGAAGGGCUGUCCCUAGUACGAGAGGACCGGGACGGACGAACCUCUGGUGUGCCAGUUGUUCCGCCAGGAGCAUGGCUGGUUGGCUACGUUCGGAAGGGAUAACCGCUGAAAGCAUCUAAGCGGGAAGCCUGCUUCAAGAUGAGGUUUCCACCACCCUUGAGGUGGGAAGGCCCCCAGCAGACCACUGGGUUGAUAGGCCGGACGUGGAAGCGCGGUAACGCGUGGAGCUGACCGGUACUAAUUGGCCGACAACUUGCCACAACAACAAAGU